Molecule: long non-coding RNA, 686 nt
Organism: Cynoglossus semilaevis (tongue sole)
Lineage: Eukaryota; Metazoa; Chordata; Actinopteri; Pleuronectiformes; Cynoglossidae
Exons: 3
Source: RefSeq, a predicted model, not a curated record
CAAAGCCCUAACAGGAGAACACAGAAUAGGAAGAGGAUCCUUAGAGGAGCGUCUGAGACGCCUCCUAAACUCAGAUAACUCAGGAUUCUACAGAAGCUGUGCCAAAGUCCAACAGCCACCCCAAUCCUGGACAGGUGACGGACAGAGAGGGCAACAGAGCGACGGAUGGAGAAGGUCAGGAGGAACAUAAAGGACCCAACGAAGAUGCAGGUCCAUCCCAAACCAGACCGCAGGAACACUCUGGAAAAGGGAACUAGAGGCUCAACCAAAUGCGUCGGGACCUGAUGGCAUAGAGCUCAUUCUGGAAGUAGAACUUCUCAUGUAAGGACAGCAGACUGUAAUACUGCAGGCACUCGGAGGGUAAAUAUUGAAUUAACCUAUGAAGGACAGCAAGGGAUCUCCAAGUGUCAUGCCAGAGAUCAGGACUCAGGAUGAUGGCCAAGAAUCUCUGCACUCGUCAGAGAGACUGUUAACAGAUGUGAGUUAUAGAUAGAUGUAAACAAUAUAGAACAAUAUAAACAGAACACUCUGAUCCACACUACAGAUUGUGGACCUUGGACCCUCCCCAUCAGGGAUCAAGUUUAUAAAUCAGUGCUGGUCUCACUUAUGACUGGUAACAUAAACUGAAGUAUAAAACUUCAGUUAAAACUAAUAUUAAAAUCUCACCUUCAGUCGAAAAACAAACA